GACGAACGCUGGCGGCGUGCUUAACACAUGCAAGUCGAACGGUGAAGCGCCUUCCUUUUUGGUGGGUGUGGAUGAGUGGCGAACGGGUGAGUAACACGUGAGUAACCUGCCCCCUUCUUCUGGAUAACCUCAUUAAAGUGUGGCUAAUACGGGAUAUUCUGGUUCUUUCGCAUGAUUGGUCUGGGUAAGAUAUUGUUUCGUUGUGGGAUGGGGUGGCGGCCUAUCAGCUUGUUGGUGGGGUGAUGGCCUACCAAGGCGGUGACGAGUAGCCGGCCUGAGAGGGUGGACGGUAAAACGGGGACGGAGAGAAGGACAAGACUACUACGGGAGGCAGCAGGGGGGAAGAUGGAACAAUGGGGGAAAGGCUGAUGCAGGGAAGCGGCGGGAGGGAUGGAGGACUUCGGGUUGUGAACCUCUUUCGCCAGUGAAGCAGGCCUGCCUCGUGUGUGGGUGGGUUGACGGUAGCUGGAUAAGAAGCGCCGGCUAACUACGUG
RNAcentral lists this ribosomal RNA (494 nucleotides) under uncultured bacterium. Its description in RNAcentral is "partial 16S ribosomal RNA". It matches the Rfam family "Bacterial small subunit ribosomal RNA", at positions 28 to 507 of the family's 1533-position model. The record is from RNAcentral.